UUGAGGCUUGUGGAAGCUUCUUAUUAACAAUAGAAAAAUUUGCAUUAUAUGCCAUUUUCCCUUCCCUCGAGUUGAAGUUUUCAUAAAAAUACCACCUACAUCUAACCCUAAGAUUCAAUCUAGGAAAAUUCAAUAUGGAAGAUAUAAAAAAUCAUGUAAACAGAUACUAUCACAUUAAGGAAAUAAUAAUGGAAUUGGAGGAAUUAUGAUCUUCAGUGGACAGUCUCAUAAUCAGAAACAGUUGCGUACUUGCAUCUACCUGGCAAGGAGCGAUUGAAUAUGAUGUCCUAUCCUGUUGGCAACGUCAAGGAGAGGGUAUAAGUAUUCGACUUAGGUGUCAAAAAGGUCGGAAUCAUGGUAUCAUGGCACCUACACAAGUACACAAUAAUUCAAGCCUUAUGGAGGAAAAUUACAUCACAGAGUAAAAGCAUCAUCUCAUUCAACUUAAAAAAGAAAACAAUUGCACGUAUCCUAUAUCCUAUACAACUGAAUAUGGAUACUAUUGAAGGAUGUCGUACCUAGUUGACUCGGAGAGGAAAUAAUUGAAAUCAUAGAGCAACUCUCACAAACUGAAAUGGGUGAUGUGCUUCAUAGCAGUCGAUGGCAGAUAACGCAAAUAAACUGAAGAGAAGAUAUUUUGAGAAAUGUUGUGUUUUUCUUGUAUAUGUUCAAGCUCUUGAUGAGAAGAUGCUGCAAAGUCAAAGGGGCGGCAUCUGUGGCAAGAGCAUGGAGUGACUAUGUGGAUUUACUUUUCGACGGCGUCAUCAGCAACACAACAAUUAUCCAAGAAGCUUACCUUAUUUUCAAAUUCGAUAGUAUCUGUCAUUUGUCAUAUUGUCAAACUUGGGGAAUCUUAUAUUUCGUUCAUAUAUUUUAAUUUCCAAAUCUAUAAAAAAAUUUACUGACAAUGUU
Coccinella septempunctata (seven-spotted ladybird) is the source of this 912-nucleotide long non-coding RNA. RefSeq lists it as uncharacterized. The record is from RefSeq and is a predicted model, not a curated record. NCBI's taxonomy places the organism in Eukaryota, Metazoa, Arthropoda, Insecta, Coleoptera, Coccinellidae. The transcript has 3 exons.